AUUUUUUGUUUUUAUGCAAGUUCUUUCGUCUAAGAAGCACUGAAUUCUCUUUUUAGUUAGUGAACCUAUGAUUUUAAUUUAUAUUUAACCUUUACUUUCAGAGUUCUCGGGACUUUUCAAUAAAAAUACUAUUUUCUUUUGACAAUGCUCAGGGUCACCCGAGUCUGAGAAAACGUUCAUUUUUGGAUUAUUUGGGCAAGA
This 201-nucleotide long non-coding RNA is filed under the name Mytilus galloprovincialis (Mediterranean mussel). Lineage: Eukaryota; Metazoa; Mollusca; Bivalvia; Mytilida; Mytilidae. The record is from RNAcentral.